AGGAGAUCUGCCCCCACCACCCCUCCCAAGAAUUAGCCCUGGGGUAGGUGCUUGAGGAUGGAAGCGGAGGAGGCACCAAUCCACCCACCCUCUGUCAGCACCAUGGUAGGGUUUGCAGAGUGAAGCUUCACCCGUCAGUUGAAGUGAGAUCUGGGCUGCACUGGUAUUUGCUGUUAGCUAAGACAUCCAUUGCCAUGUGACCGUCCACCAGAGACCAAAGCUGUGAAACCUUCCAGCAAGUACUGCAAGCCUCCAAAACCAAGAGGUUUAAGAUGUGAACCCUUAGCUUCUGCUCCAGGUGCUAUGCCUGCCACCUGCUGCCCCGCCUCCUGGUCUUGCUGCACCCAUAUCCUCUGGAACCAUAAGCCAAAUAAAGUCUUCCCUCUGUAAGCUGCUCCUGGACAUGUUUUUGUUGUUGGUUGUUUGUUUUGUUUUGUUUUUUAAUCACACCAGCAGAGGAGUACCUAGUACUGAGAGACUCACCACGAAAUUUUGUAUCUGACAUGGGUAUACACAAAGGCCUAAUCUUCUAGAAUGAGCCCAAGACAAGGUUGUGGGAGACAGCUAUUUCUUU
This 574-nucleotide long non-coding RNA is filed under the name Cricetulus griseus (Chinese hamster). RNAcentral's name for it is "lncRNA (ENSCGRG00015031159.1)". Lineage: Eukaryota; Metazoa; Chordata; Mammalia; Rodentia; Cricetidae. The record is from RNAcentral.